AGUGAACGCUGGCGGUAGGCCUAACACAUGCAAGUCGAACGGCAGCACAUUAAGAGCUUGCUCUUACGGGUGGCGAGUGGCGGACGGGUGAGGAAUACAUCGGAAUCUACUUUUUCGUGGGGGAUAACGUAGGGAAACUUACGCUAAUACCGCAUACGACCUACGGGUGAAAGCAGGGGAUCUUCGUACCUUGCGCGAUUGGAUGAGCCGAUGUCGGAUUAGCUAGUUGGCGGGGUAAAGGCCCACCAAGGCGACGAUCCGUAGCUGGUCUGAGAGGAUGAUCAGCCACACUGGAACUGGGACACGGUCCAGACUCCUACGGGAGGCAGCAGUGGGGAAUAUUGGACAAUGGGCGCAAGCCUGAUCCAGCCAUACCGCGUGGGUGAAGAAGGCCUUCGGGUUGUAAAGCCCUUUUGUUGGGAAAGAAAAGCAGCAGGUUAAUACCCCGCUGUUCUGACGGUACCCAAAGAAUAAGCACCGGCUAACUUCGUG
This 492-nucleotide ribosomal RNA is filed under the name uncultured bacterium. RNAcentral's name for it is "partial 16S ribosomal RNA". It matches the Rfam family "Bacterial small subunit ribosomal RNA", at positions 29 to 507 of the family's 1533-position model. The record is from RNAcentral.